AACGAACGCUGGCGGCAGGCUUAAUACAUGCAAGUCGAGCGGGCACUUCGGCGUCAGCGGCGCACGGGUGCGUAACGCGUGGGAACAUGCCCUUAGGUACGGAACAACACAGGGAAGCUUGUGCUAAUACCGUAUAAUAUCUCCGGAUCAAAGAUUUAUCGCCUAAGGAUUGGCCCGCGUUAGAUUAGGUAGUUGGUGGGGUAAUGGCCUACCAAGCCGACGAUCUAUAGCUGGUCUGAGAGGAUGAUCAGCCACACUGGAACUGAGACACGGUCCAGACUCCUACGGGAGGCAGCAGUAAGGAAUAUUGGACAAUGGGCGAAAGCCUGAUCCAGCCAUGCCGCGUGAGUGAUGAAGGCCUUAGGGUUGUAAAGCUCUUUUAGAUGGGAAGAUAAUGACUGUACCAUCAGAAUAAGCCCCGGCUAAAUUCGUGCCAGCCGCCGCAGUAA
RNAcentral lists this ribosomal RNA (449 nucleotides) under uncultured bacterium. Its description in RNAcentral is "partial 16S ribosomal RNA". It matches the Rfam family "Bacterial small subunit ribosomal RNA", at positions 29 to 523 of the family's 1533-position model. The record is from RNAcentral.